AGGGCACCACCAGGAGUGGAGCCUGCGGCAUAAUUUGACUCAACACGGGGAAACUUACCCGGCCCGGACACUGGAAGGAUUGACAGAUUGAGAGCUCUUUCUUGAUUCAGUGGGUGGUGGUGCAUGGCCGUUCUUAGUUGGUGGAGCGAUUUGUCUGGUUAAUUCCGAUAACGAACGAGACUCUAGCCUAUUAAAUAGGCUCCCGGCUUUUAAACGCCGGGAGGACUUCUUAGAGGGACAGGUGGCGGUUCAGCCGCACGAAAGAGAGCAAUAACAGGUCUGUGAUGCCCUUUGAUGUCCGGGGCCGCACGCGCGCUACACUGAAGAGAUCAGCGUGCUUUAUGUUCCUGCUCCGACCGGAGUGGGGAACCCAGUGAAACUUCUUCGUGAUUGGGAUAGAACAUUGUAAUUAUUGUUCUUGAACGAGGAAUUCCCAGUAAAUGCGAGUCAUAAGCUCGCGUUGAUUACGUCCCUGCCCUUUGUACACACCCGCCCGUCGCUACUACCGAUUGAACGAUU
Molecule: ribosomal RNA, 519 nt
Filed under: uncultured eukaryote
Lineage: Eukaryota
Description: SSU rRNA
Rfam family: Eukaryotic small subunit ribosomal RNA
Source: RNAcentral